UACGUAGGGGGCAAGCGUUGUCCGGAAUUAUUGGGCGUAAAGCGUGUGUAGGCGGAUCGUUAAGUGCCUUGUGAAAUCCCACGGCUCAACCGUGGAACUGCUUGGCAUACUGGCGGUCUUGAGCAACCUAGGGGCGAGCGGAACAAAUGGUGGAGCGGUGAAAUGCGUAGAUAUCAUUUGGAACGCCAAUGGUGAAAACAGCUCGCUGGGGGUUUGCUGACGCUGAGACACGAAAGCCAGGGGAGCAAACGGG
RNAcentral lists this ribosomal RNA (253 nucleotides) under uncultured bacterium. Its description in RNAcentral is "partial 16S ribosomal RNA". It matches the Rfam family "Bacterial small subunit ribosomal RNA", at positions 524 to 776 of the family's 1533-position model. The record is from RNAcentral.